CCCUUAGAUGUUCUGGGCCGCACGCGCGCUACACUGUUCGACGCAGCGAGUCUUAACCUUGACCGAAAGGUUUGGGUAAUCUUCAGCAAAGUCGAACGUGAUGGGGAUCGAUCAUUGCAAUUAUUGAUCGUGAACGAGGAAUUCCUAGUAAGUGCAAGUCAUCAGCUUGCGCUGAUUACGUCCCUGCCCUUUGUACACACCGCCCGUCGCUACUACCGAUUGAAUGGUUUAGUGAGCUCCUCGGAUUGUCAGCCUGGCGGUUAAUCCUGCCUGGCUAGCGAAAAGACGAGCAAACUUGAGCGUUUAGAGGAAGUAAAAGUCGUAACA
RNAcentral lists this ribosomal RNA (327 nucleotides) under uncultured eukaryote. Its description in RNAcentral is "partial 18S ribosomal RNA". It matches the Rfam family "Eukaryotic small subunit ribosomal RNA", at positions 1470 to 1796 of the family's 1831-position model. The record is from RNAcentral.